UACGUAGGUGACAAGCGUUGUCCGGAUUUACUGGGCGUAAAGAGCGCGCAGGCGGUCGUUCAAGUCGAGUGUGAAAGCCCCCGGCUCAACUGGGGAGGGUCACUCGAUACUGAUCGACUCGAAGGCAGGAGAGGGAAGUGGAAUUCCCGGUGUAGUGGUGAAAUGCGCAGAUAUCGGGAGGAACACCGGUGGCGAAGGCGGUUCUCUGGGCCUGUACUGACGCUGAGGAGCGAAAGCGUGGGGAGCGAACAGG
RNAcentral lists this ribosomal RNA (253 nucleotides) under uncultured bacterium. RNAcentral describes it as "partial 16S ribosomal RNA". It matches the Rfam family "Bacterial small subunit ribosomal RNA", at positions 524 to 776 of the family's 1533-position model. The record is from RNAcentral.